RNAcentral lists this ribosomal RNA (587 nucleotides) under Salmonella enterica subsp. enterica serovar Livingstone. RNAcentral's name for it is "partial 23S ribosomal RNA". It matches the Rfam family "Bacterial large subunit ribosomal RNA", at positions 161 to 688 of the family's 2925-position model. Lineage: Bacteria; Pseudomonadati; Pseudomonadota; Gammaproteobacteria; Enterobacterales; Enterobacteriaceae. The record is from RNAcentral.
AAUCCAUAGGUUAAUGAGGCGAACCGGGGGAACUGAAACAUCUAAGUACCCCGAGGAAAAGAAAUCAACCGAGAUUCCCCCAGUAGCGGCGAGCGAACGGGGAGGAGCCCAGAGCCUGAAUCAGCAUGUGUGUUAGUGGAAGCGUCUGGAAAGGCGCGCGAUACAGGGUGACAGCCCCGUACACAAAAGCGCAUGUGCUGUGAGCUCGAUGAGUAGGGCGGGACACGUGGUAUCCUGUCUGAAUAUGGGGGGACCAUCCUCCAAGGCUAAAUACUCCUGACUGACCGAUAGUGAACCAGUACCGUGAGGGAAAGGCGAAAAGAACCCCGGCGAGGGGAGUGAAAAAGAACCUGAAACCGUGUACGUACAAGCAGUGGGAGCCCCACCACUAAGCCAGUGGUGAACUCCACAUACGCAUCCUUUGCUGAGGAUACGGUUAACGGAGCGAAAGCGACGUUCAACCGCAAAAGAAGCAGAGGGGGCUUAGUGGUGGGGUGACUGCGUACCUUUUGUAUAAUGGGUCAGCGACUUAUAUUCUGUAGCAAGGUUAACCGUAUAGGGGAGCCGGAGGGAAACCGAGUCUUAAC